UGUUUCGGCUAGGGGGCCAUCCCGGCUUACCAACCCGAUGCAAACUGCGAAUACCGGAGAAUGUUAUCACGGGAGACACACGGCGGGUGCUAACGUCCGUCGUGAAGAGGGAAACAACCCAGACCGCCAGCUAAGGUCCCAAAGUCAUGGUUAAGUGGGAAACGAUGUGGGAAGGCCCAGACAGCCAGGAUGUUGGCUUAGAAGCAGCCAUCAUUUAAAGAAAGCGUAAUAGCUCACUGGUCGAGUCGGCCUGCGCGGAAGAUGUAACGGGGCUAAACCAUGCACCGAAGCUGCGGCAGCGAACGUAUCACUUAAAGCGAUUCAGCGGGUUACGAUUGACGGAGCGAAGCGACGUCAAAGCGUAUACAAAGUCGAGUCGGUUUAAGGAUACGUUCGUUGGGUAGGGGAGCGUUCUGUAAGCCUGUGAAGGUGGCCUGUGAGGGUUGCUGGAGGUAUCAGAAGUGCGAAUGCUGACAUAAGUAACGAUAAAGCGGGUGAAAAGCCCGCUCGCCGGAAGACCAAGGGUUCCUGUCCAACGUUAAUCGGGGCAGGGUGAGUCGACCCCUAAGGCGAGGCCGAAAGGCGUAGUCGAUGGGAAACGGGUUAAUAUUCCCGUACUUGGUGUUACUGCGAAGGGGGGACGGAGAAGGCUAUGUUGGCCGGGCGACGGUUGUCCCGGUUUAAGCGUGUAGGCUGGUUUUCCAGGCAAAUCCGGAAAAUCAAGGCUGAGGCGUGAUGACGAGGCACUACGGUGCUGAAGCAACAAAUGCCCUGCUUCCAGGAAAAGCCUCUAAGCAUCAGGUAACAUCAAAUCGUACCCCAAACCGACACAGGUGGUCAGGUAGAGAAUACCAAGGCGCUUGAGAGAACUCGGGUGAAGGAACUAGGCAAAAUGGUGCCGUAACUUCGGGAGAAGGCACGCUGACACGUAGGUGAAGUGAUUUACUCAUGGAGCUGAAGUCAGUCGAAGAUACCAGCUGGCUGCAACUGUUUAUUAAAAACACAGCACUGUGCAAACACGAAAGUGGACGUAUACGGUGUGACGCCUGCCCGGUGCCGGAAGGUUAAUUGAUGGGGUCAGCGCAAGCGAAGCUCCUGAUCGAAGCCCCGGUAAACGGCGGCCGUAACUAUAACGGUCCUAAGGUAGCGAAAUUCCUUGUCGGGUAAGUUCCGACCUGCACGAAUGGCGUAAUGAUGGCCAGGCUGUCUCCACCCGAGACUCAGUGAAAUUGAACUCGCUGUGAAGAUGCAGUGUACCCGCGGCAAGACGGAAAGACCCCGUGAACCUUUACUAUAGCUUGACACUGAACAUUGAGCCUUGAUGUGUAGGAUAGGUGGGAGGCUUUGAAGUGUGGACGCCAGUCUGCAUGGAGCCGACCUUGAAAUACCACCCUUUAAUGUUUGAUGUUCUAACGUGGACCCGUAAUCCGGGUUGCGGACAGUGUCUGGUGGGUAGUUUGACUGGGGCGGUCUCCUCCUAAAGAGUAACGGAGGAGCACGAAGGUUGGCUAAUCCUGGUCGGACAUCAGGAGGUUAGUGCAAUGGCAUAAGCCAGCUUGACUGCGAGCGUGACGGCGCGAGCAGGUGCGAAAGCAGGUCAUAGUGAUCCGGUGGUUCUGAAUGGAAGGGCCAUCGCUCAACGGAUAAAAGGUACUCCGGGGAUAACAGGCUGAUACCGCCCAAGAGUUCAUAUCGACGGCGGUGUUUGGCACCUCGAUGUCGGCUCAUCACAUCCUGGGGCUGAAGUAGGUCCCAAGGGUAUGGCUGUUCGCCAUUUAAAGUGGUACGCGAGCUGGGUUUAGAACGUCGUGAGACAGUUCGGUCCCUAUCUGCCGUGGGCGCUGGAGAACUGAGGGGGGCUGCUCCUAGUACGAGAGGACCGGAGUGGACGCAUCACUGGUGUUCGGGUUGUCAUGCCAAUGGCACUGCCCGGUAGCUAAAUGCGGAAGAGAUAAGUGCUGAAAGCAUCUAAGCACGAAACUUGCCCCGAGAUGAGUUCUCCCUGAGACUUAGAGUCUCCUGAAGGAACGUUGAAGACGACGACGUUGAUA
This 2051-nucleotide ribosomal RNA is filed under the name Salmonella enterica subsp. enterica serovar Kentucky. Its description in RNAcentral is "partial 23S ribosomal RNA". It matches the Rfam family "Bacterial large subunit ribosomal RNA", at positions 911 to 2858 of the family's 2925-position model. Lineage: Bacteria; Pseudomonadati; Pseudomonadota; Gammaproteobacteria; Enterobacterales; Enterobacteriaceae. The record is from RNAcentral.